Molecule: ribosomal RNA, 497 nt
Filed under: uncultured bacterium
Lineage: Bacteria
Description: partial 16S ribosomal RNA
Rfam family: Bacterial small subunit ribosomal RNA
Source: RNAcentral
GAUGAACGCUGGCGGCGUGCCUAAUACAUGCAAGUCGAGCGAACAGACGAGGAGCUUGCUCCUCUGACGUUAGCGGCGGACGGGUGAGUAACACGUGGAUAACCUACCUAUAAGACUGGGAUAACUUCGGGAAACCGGAGCUAAUACCGGAUAAUAUAUUGAACCGCAUGGUUCAAUAGUGAAAGACGGUUUUGCUGUCACUUAUAGAUGGAUCCGCGCCGCAUUAGCUAGUUGGUAAGGUAACGGCUUACCAAGGCAACGAUGCGUAGCCGACCUGAGAGGGUGAUCGGCCACACUGGAACUCAGACACGGUCCAGACUCCUACGGGAGGCAGCAGUAGGGAAUCUUCCGCAAUGGGCGAAAGCCUGACGGAGCAACGCCGCGUGAGUGAUGAAGGUCUUCGGAUCGUAAAACUCUGUUAUUAGGGAAGAACAAAUGUGUAAGUAACUAUGCACAUCUUGACGGUACCUAAUCAGAAAGCCACGGCUAACUACGUG